GAUUGGUGCUUGCAUCAUGAUUUACAUUUGAGUGAGUGGCGAACUGGUGAGUAACACGUGGGAAACCUGCCCAGAAGCGGGGGAUAACACCUGGAAACAGAUGCUAAUACCGCAUAACAACUUGGACCGCAGGUCCGAGUUUGAAAGAUGGCUUCGGCUAUCACUUUUGGAUGGUCCCGCGGCGUAUUAGCUAGAUGGUGGGGUAACGGCUCACCAUGGCAAUGAUACGUAGCCGACCUGAGAGGGUAAUCGGCCACAUUGGGACUGAGACACGGCCCAACAUCCUACGGGAGGCAGCAGUAGGGAAUCUUCCACAAUGGACGAAAGUCUGAUGGAGCAACGCCGCGUGAGUGAAGAAGGGUUUCGGCUCGUAAAACUCUGUUGUUAAAGAAGAACAUAUCUGAGAGUAACUGUUCAGGUAUUGACGGUAUUUAACCAGAAAGCCACGGCUAACUACGUGCCAGCAGCCGCGGUAAUACGUAGGUGGCAAGCGUUGUCCGGAUUUAUUGGGCGUAAAGCGAGCGCAGGCGGUUUUUUAAGUCUGAUGUGAAAGCCUUCGGCUCAACCGAAGAAGUGCAUCGGAAACUGGGAAACAUGAGUGCAGAAGAGGACAGUGGAACUCCAUGUGUAGCGGUGAAAUGCGUAGAUAUAUGGAAGAACACCAGUGGCGAAGGCGGCUGUCUGGUCUGUAACUGACGCUGAGGCUGCAAA
This 711-nucleotide ribosomal RNA is filed under the name Lactiplantibacillus plantarum. Its description in RNAcentral is "bacterial SSU rRNA". It matches the Rfam family "Bacterial small subunit ribosomal RNA", at positions 71 to 758 of the family's 1533-position model. Lineage: Bacteria; Bacillati; Bacillota; Bacilli; Lactobacillales; Lactobacillaceae. The record is from RNAcentral.